Molecule: ribosomal RNA, 450 nt
Filed under: uncultured Glomus
Lineage: Eukaryota; Fungi; Glomeromycota; Glomeromycetes; Glomerales; Glomeraceae
Description: SSU rRNA
Rfam family: Eukaryotic small subunit ribosomal RNA
Source: RNAcentral
AGCAGCCGCGGUAAUUCCAGCUCCAAUAGCGUAUAUUAAAGUUGUUGCAGUUAAAAAGCUCGUAGUUGAAUUUCGGGGUUAGCAGGUUGGUCGUGCCAAUGAUAUGCACUGGCCUUGCUGAUUCCUCCCUCUUGUAGAACCGUAAUGCCAUUAAGUUGGUGUUGCGGGGAAACAGGACUGUUACUUUGAAAAAUUAGAGUGUUUAAAGCAGGCUAACGCUUGAAUACAUUAGCAUGGAAUAAUGAAAUAGGACGAUCGAUCCUAUUUUGUUGGUUUCUAGGAUUGACGUAAUGAUUAAUAGGGAUAGUUGGGGGCAUUAGUAUUCAAUUGUCAGAGGUGAAAUUCUUGGAUUUAUUGAAGACUAACUACUGCGAAAGCAUUUGCCAAGGAUGUUUUCAUUAAUCAAGAACGAAAGUUAGGGGAUCGAAGACGAUCAGAUACCGUCGUAGU